UCUAAAAUAGCUGUUAAGCAAAGAGAAAAUUGGGCCUGAUAGGGUGAGAAUCACAGCUCUAAUACCUAGAGUGACCUUAUAAUGUAUUGUCCAAAGGAGAUAUUUUUGACAGUGAAAGAGGGUGUUGUUAGUAAUUAUAUCAGGACCGUGGCCUAAACCAGGACUAUCCCAGGCAGCCUGGGACAUAUUUGUACCCCAUCUCUAUUUAAUGCCUUUAUACAAUUCUUUACUUAAUUCUACCAGCCUUUAUUGAGCCUGCUUUCUUUGUCUAGCUGAGUGCCACAUGCUGACAUCACUAAGAUCAAUACGGCAAACUCUGAAAGAUGGACAGAGAGACAGGAGAUGGUCCUUUAUAAUGCAGUGUGAUCUGUGCUGCAAUAGAGAUGGAAGAGUGUUCUGAUCGGCUGGAAAACAACGCACAUGGGAAGCUGUACGGAAAUGAGUGGGGAAAGGGUCUUGCUCUGUUGACCAGACCGUGACCUCCUGGGUUCAAGCGAUUCCCCACCUCAGCCUCCUGAGUAGCCGGGACUACAGAUUGGACGACUGAUUAUUGGACAGAAUGGCAUCUUGUCGACACCUGCGGUCUCCUGCAUUAUCAGGAAGAUCAAGGCAGCUGGUGGAAUCAUUCUAACAGCCAGCCACUGCCCUGGAGGACCAGGGGGAGAGUUUGGAGUGAAGUUUAAUGUUGCCAAUGGAGGUCCUGCACCCGAUGUUGUCUCAGACAAAAUCUACCAAAUCAGCAAAACGAUUGAGGAAUAUGCUAUAUGUCCUGAUCUCCGAAUCGACCUAUCUCGACUAGGAAGACAAGAAUUUGACCUAGAGAACAAAUUCAAACCAUUCAGAGUGGAGAUAGUGGACCCAGUGGAUAUCUAUCUUAACCUCCUUCGGACCAUCUUUGACUUUCAUGCCAUCAAGAGUUUGCUGACUGGGCCCAGCCAACUGAAGAUUCGCAUUGACGCAAUGCAUGGAGUUAUGGGACCUUAUGUGAGAAAAGUUCUGUGUGAUGAGCUGGGGGCCCCAGCCAAUUCUGCAAUAAACUGUGUUCCCCUGGAAGACUUUGGAGGGCAGCACCCCGACCCAAACCUGACCUAUGCAACGACUCUUCUGGAAGCAAUGAAAGGAGGAGAAUAUGGAUUUGGAGCUGCAUUUGAUGCUGAUGGGGACCGUUAUAUGAUCCUAGGCCAAAAUGGCUUCUUUGUGAGCCCUUCUGACUCCCUGGCCAUCAUUGCUGCCAACCUCUCUUGCAUUCCAUAUUUCCGUCAGAUGGGGGUCCGCGGGUUUGGGAGGAGUAUGCCAACCAGCAUGGCCCUGGACAGGCUCUGAGCCUCUGACUGUCUGGUCCAGGUAGCAAGUGUUUGCAGGAUUUCUAGACCCCAUGCUCUUACACCAGCUUGUCUAUGAAGAUAGAAGACAAAGCUUUUCUUUCCAAGAAGAAACUGAAAACAUCACCUCAAGUCUUGACUUUGGUUGGGAAAGAGUAACUGCAGUAAUUAGGAUCCAAUUGAUGGCAAAGGGGUAUUAUCUAGAAUACCUGAAACUUGGUAAUUUAUGAAGAAAAGGAAUUCAUUUCUUACAGUUAUGGAGGCUGAGAAGUCCAAGGUCCAGGGCCAUAACAGG
RNAcentral lists this small RNA (1617 nucleotides) under Pongo abelii (Sumatran orangutan). Its description in RNAcentral is "processed transcript". The record is from RNAcentral. Lineage: Eukaryota; Metazoa; Chordata; Mammalia; Primates; Hominidae.